RNAcentral lists this ribosomal RNA (327 nucleotides) under uncultured eukaryote. RNAcentral describes it as "partial 18S ribosomal RNA". It matches the Rfam family "Eukaryotic small subunit ribosomal RNA", at positions 1470 to 1796 of the family's 1831-position model. The record is from RNAcentral.
CCCUUAGAUGUUCUGGGCCGCACGCGCGCUACACUGACGAAUGCAACGAGCUUAUAACCUUGGCCGAAAGGUCUGGGUAACCUCCAAAUUUCGUCGUGAUGGGGAUAGAUUAUUGCAAUUAUUAAUCUUCAACGAGGAAUGCCUAGUAAGCGCAAGUCAUCAGCUUGCGUUGAUUACGUCCCUGCCCUUUGUACACACCGCCCGUCGCUCCUACCGAUUGAAUGGUCCGGUGAAGCGUUCGGACCGUGGCCUUUGGACGGUUCGCCGUCUGUUGGCUGCGGGAAGUUCGUUAAACCUUAUCAUUUAGAGGAAGGAGAANUCGUAACA